AUGAACGCUAGCGGCAGGCUUAACACAUGCAAGUCGAGGGGUAUAGUAGCAAUACUAGAGACCGGCGCACGGGUGCGUAACGCGUAUGCAAUCUACCUUUUACAGAGGGAUAGCCCAGAGAAAUUUGGAUUAAUACCUCAUAGUAUAUAUGAGUGGCAUCACUUAUAUAUUAAAGUCACAACGGUAAAAGAUGAGCAUGCGUCCCAUUAGCUAGAUGGUAAGGUAACGGCUUACCAUGGCAACGAUGGGUAGGGGUCCUGAGAGGGAGAUCCCCCACACUGGUACUGAGACACGGACCAGACUCCUACGGGAGGCAGCAGUGAGGAAUAUUGGUCAAUGGGCGCAAGCCUGAACCAGCCAUGCCGCGUGCAGGAUGACGGUCCUAUGGAUUGUAAACUGCUUUUGUACAGGAAGAAACACUCCCUCGUGAGGGAGCUUGACGGUACUGUAAGAAUAAGGAUCGGCUAACUCCGU
RNAcentral lists this ribosomal RNA (474 nucleotides) under uncultured bacterium. RNAcentral's name for it is "bacterial SSU rRNA". It matches the Rfam family "Bacterial small subunit ribosomal RNA", at positions 29 to 506 of the family's 1533-position model. The record is from RNAcentral.